This 1445-nucleotide ribosomal RNA is filed under the name uncultured organism. Its description in RNAcentral is "SSU rRNA". It matches the Rfam family "Bacterial small subunit ribosomal RNA". The record is from RNAcentral.
UAUUUACAGGCUUAACACAUGCAAGUCGAGGGGCAGCAUUUUAGUUUGCUUGCAAACUGAAGAUGGCGACCGGCGCACGGGUGAGUAACACGUAUCCAACCUGCCGAUAACUCCGGAAUAGCCUUUCGAAAGAAAGAUUAAUACCGGAUAGCAUACGAAUAUCGCAUGAUAUUUUUAUUAAAGAAUUUCGGUUAUCGAUGGGGAUGCGUUCCAUUAGUUUGUUGGCGGGGUAACGGCCCACCAAGACAACGAUGGAUAGGGGUUCUGAGAGGAAGGUCCCCCACAUUGGAACUGAGACACGGUCCAAACUCCUACGGGAGGCAGCAGUGAGGAAUAUUGGUCAAUGGGCGAGAGCCUGAACCAGCCAAGUAGCGUGAAGGAUGAAGGCUCUAUGGGUCGUAAACUUCUUUUAUAUGGGAAUAAAGUUUUCCACGUGUGGAAUUUUGUAUGUACCAUAUGAAUAAGGAUCGGCUAACUCCGUGCCAGCAGCCGCGGUAAUACGGAGGAUCCGAGCGUUAUCCGGAUUUAUUGGGUUUAAAGGGAGCGUAGGUGGAUUGUUAAGUCAGUUGUGAAAGUUUGCGGCUCAACCGUAAAAUUGCAGUUGAAACUGGCAGUCUUGAGUACAGUAGAGGUGGGCGGAAUUCGUGGUGUAGCGGUGAAAUGCUUAGAUAUCACGAAGAACUCCGAUUGCGAAGGCAGCUCACUAGACUGUCACUGACACUGAUGCUCGAAAGUGUGGGUAUCAAACAGGAUUAGAUACCCUGGUAGUCCACACAGUAAACGAUGAAUACUCGCUGUUUGCGAUAUACAGUAAGCGGCCAAGCGAAAGCAUUAAGUAUUCCACCUGGGGAGUACGCCGGCAACGGUGAAACUCAAAGGAAUUGACGGGGGCCCGCACAAGCGGAGGAACAUGUGGUUUAAUUCGAUGAUACGCGAGGAACCUUACCCGGGCUUAAAUUGCAACAGAAUAUAUUGGAAACAGUAUAGCCGUAAGGCUGUUGUGAAGGUGCUGCAUGGUUGUCGUCAGCUCGUGCCGUGAGGUGUCGGCUUAAGUGCCAUAACGAGCGCAACCCUUAUCUUUAGUUACUAACAGGUGAUGCUGAGGACUCUAGAGAGACUGCCGUCGUAAGAUGUGAGGAAGGUGGGGAUGACGUCAAAUCAGCACGGCCCUUACGUCCGGGGCUACACACGUGUUACAAUGGGGGGUACAGAAGGCGGCUACCUGGUGACAGGAUGCUAAUCCCAAAAACCUCUCUCAGUUCGGAUCGAAGUCUGCAACCCGACUUCGUGAAGCUGGAUUCGCUAGUAAUCGCGCAUCAGCCAUGGCGCGGUGAAUACGUUCCCGGGCCUUGUACACACCGCCCGUCAAGCCAUGAAAGCCGGGGGUACCUGAAGUACGUAACCGCAAGGAGCGUCCUAGGGUAAAACUGGUAAUUGGGGCUAAG